UGCCUGUGGGUAAUGCCUGUUCGGUUAGUGUAUAUGUAUAAAUCUGAUCUGACCGACUAUCCGCAUCCCGAUCUGAUCUGAGACCUCGAAUGCGAUCGAGUCGAAGAUCCGGAUCAGGGGUUUGCCGUUGAUUCGGAGAUCAAUACACCACCGGGUAGACAUUCAUCCGCUGA
This 173-nucleotide microRNA precursor is filed under the name Fasciola hepatica (liver fluke). Its description in RNAcentral is "microRNA fhe-mir-36b precursor". Its record names the gene fhe-mir-36b. Lineage: Eukaryota; Metazoa; Platyhelminthes; Trematoda; Plagiorchiida; Fasciolidae. The record is from miRBase by way of RNAcentral.